Molecule: ribosomal RNA, 429 nt
Filed under: Gemmatimonadota bacterium
Lineage: Bacteria; Pseudomonadati; Gemmatimonadota
Description: Gemmatimonadetes bacterium partial 16S ribosomal RNA
Rfam family: Bacterial small subunit ribosomal RNA
Source: RNAcentral
UAGGGAAUCUUCGGCAAUGGACGAAAGUCUGACCGAGCAACGCCGCGUGAGUGAAGAAGGUUUUCGGAUCGUAAAACUCUGUUGUUAGAGAAGAACAAGGACGUUAGUAACUGAACGUCCCCUGACGGUAUCUAACCAGAAAGCCACGGCUAACUACGUGCCAGCAGCCGCGGUAAUACGUAGGUGGCAAGCGUUGUCCGGAUUUAUUGGGCGUAAAGCGAGCGCAGGCGGUUGCUUAAGUCUGAUGUGAAAGCCCCCGGCUCAACCGGGGAGGGUCAUUGGAAACUGGGAGAGUUGAGUGCAGAAGAGGAGAGUGGAAUUCCAUGUGUAGCGGUGAAGUGCGUAGAUAAAUGGAGGAACACCAGUGGCGAAGGCGGCACUCUGGUCUGUAACUGACGCUGAGGCUCGAAAGCGUGGGGAGCAAACAGG